UUCACUGGACCUUCAUAUGACUGUGGCGUUCAAAGGAAUGAAUGUUGUUGAAUGUUGAAAAAUGUUGCAAAGGAGUCUGAAGUGGGCAGGUUGAUAUCCUCCGCGCCGCCCUUGGCCUGGCUUCUUGACAGGGAGGUGAAUGCCGCCGAAAAUUUCCGCGUCUGGUAACGCCGGUUUCCGCAUCUUUUUUCUCUUUCAUUUAUUAUCCUUUGUGGUAGGAGUAUAUUUUUUUAGUAGUGUGGGGUAAGUCAUGCGCUUUGUGUUUCGAGCUCCCACGAAAUUAAAUUUAUUGACAAUAAAAUUUGAUAAAAUAACUUGCGGUAGGUCGCUAAAGUUCCCUGCAGAUAAAAGUCUUUUGAGCAUAUUUUUUUCGUAGCCUGGGCAUUCUUAAAUAUUUUGGCUUGAAAAAGGACAAGAGGACUCUCAUGUGUUUUGCAUUCGGUGGAACUGGAGAGACAAGGGCAUUCUUAAACAUUUUGGCUUGAAAAAGGACAAGAGGACUCUCAUGUGUUUUCCAUUCGGUGGAACUGGAGAGACAAGGGCAUUCUUAAACAAUUUUGCUUGAAAAAGGACAAGAGGACUCUCAUGUGUUUUCCAUUCGGUGGAACUGGAGAGACAAGGGCAUUCUUAAACAUUUUGGCUUGAAAAAGGACAAGAGGACUCUCAUGUGUUUUCCAUUCGGUGGAACUGGAGAGACAAGGGCAUUCUUAAACAAUUUUGCUUGAAAAAGGACAAGAGGACUCUCAUGUGUUUUCCAUUCGGUGGAACUGGAGAGACAGGGGCAUUCUUAAACAUUUUGGCUUGAAAAAGGACAAGAGGACUCAUGUGUUUUCCAUUCGGUGGAACUGGAGAGACAAGGGCAUUCUUAAACAUUUUGGCUUGAAAAAGGACAAGAGGACUCAUGUGUUUU
Molecule: long non-coding RNA, 910 nt
Organism: Ornithodoros turicata
Lineage: Eukaryota; Metazoa; Arthropoda; Arachnida; Ixodida; Argasidae
Exons: 7
Source: RefSeq, a predicted model, not a curated record